RNAcentral lists this ribosomal RNA (720 nucleotides) under uncultured anaerobic ammonium-oxidizing bacterium. Its description in RNAcentral is "bacterial SSU rRNA". It matches the Rfam family "Bacterial small subunit ribosomal RNA", at positions 565 to 1274 of the family's 1533-position model. The record is from RNAcentral.
GAGCACGUAGGUGGGUUUGUAAGUCAGAUGUGAAAGCCUUCUGUUCAACAGAAGAAUUGCAUCUGAAACUGCGAGUCUUGAGUGUAGGAGGGGAGAAUGGAACUUCUGGUGGAGCGGUGAAAUGCGUAGAUAUCAGAAGGAACGCCGGCGGCGAAAGCGAUUCUCUGGCCUAUUACUGACACUCAGUGUGCGAAAGCUAGGGGAGCAAACGGGAUUAGAUACCCCGGUAGUCCUAGCCGUAAACGAUGGGCACUAAGUAGAGGGAAUUACCGAUGUUCUCUCUGCCGUAGCUAACGCAUUAAGUGCCCCGCCUGGGGAGUACGGCCGCAAGGCUAAAACUCAAAAGAAUUGACGGGGGCUCGCACAAGCGGUGGAGCAUGUGGCUUAAUUCGAUGCGACGCGAAAAACCUUACCGGGGCUUGACAUGGUAGAAGUAGGAACCCGAAAGGGUAACGAACGGUAUCCAGUCCGUAGCUAUCACAGGUGUUGCAUGGCUGUCGUCAGCUCGUGUCGUGAGACGUUGGGUUAAGUCCCCUAACGAGCGAAACCCUUGUUUUUAGUUACCAGCGGGUUAUGCCAGGUACUCUAGAAAGACUGCCGUCGUCAAGACGGAGGAAGGUGGGGAUGACGUCAAGUCAUCAUGGCCCUUAUGCCACGGGCUGCACACGUGCUACAAUGGUCGGUACAAACGGAAGCGAAGCCGAGAGGUGAAGCGAAUCC